CCCUGUGAUAAGGUCCAGAAGUGCUUAGAUCCAGAAUAUAAAAUAUGCGAUCCAUCAAUGUGUAUUAAUGAUCAGCCCUUCUAGCUACUCCUAGAAGGAAACUAACUUUGAUUCACAUGGCUACGAUUAACCCCGUAAUAGGGUAAAGAGAUUAAACUUAAAAAUAAACAUGUGAUAUAUCAGCAUGUGCUAGCAAUCAAACCCAAUUGGCUAUAUUCAGAAGGACUAAAUCUGCUAAUGAUCAAUCCCAACUAGCUAGAUCCAAGAGAAACAAGUUCUAACAUAUGAUCGAUGAUUAGUCUCCUUGGUUAGACCCAAAUCAUAGUUUAAUUAGAGAGUUUUGCUUAUAGUUUCAUCAUAAUCAAUUUCUCAUAAAUAAUUAUACUUAUUUUUGUAAUAAUAUCAAUUCAAAUAUUUCAUAUCUUAUUUCUAGUUACAAGAGAAU
This 445-nucleotide long non-coding RNA is filed under the name Elaeis guineensis (African oil palm). Its description in RNAcentral is "long non-coding RNA (EGUI_LNC007648)". The record is from RNAcentral. Lineage: Eukaryota; Viridiplantae; Streptophyta; Magnoliopsida; Arecales; Arecaceae.